Molecule: long non-coding RNA, 2024 nt
Organism: Oncorhynchus nerka (sockeye salmon)
Lineage: Eukaryota; Metazoa; Chordata; Actinopteri; Salmoniformes; Salmonidae
Exons: 3
Source: RefSeq, a predicted model, not a curated record
GAUCAGCUACAACUCGACGUGGACCGUUCAACACAUGCAGUCACAAAAGAGGAAAGAAAGGUGACAAGGGAAAGAGCUGCCACUGAGAAUAAGAAGAAGAAGAAGAAGAAGGAGAAAGAUAUAUAUAUAUAUAUAUAUAUAUGCCAGGGGGUCUGGGAACCAAACACAGUAUGAAGCUGCCUGGACCGGAUGAUGACGCUGCUAUACAGACUGGCUGCACCUUGCAGAAAAACUCCCUUUGUAGAUGAGUGGCCCAGUCAGGAUUACUUACUGCAGGGGUCUUAACCCGCCAACCAGCAGUACUACAUCUCAGAGGCUAAAAACAGACACGGAGACACACUUACCAAGGCCUCAUUACACUGCUCAAAAAAAUAAAGGGAACACUUAAACAACACACUGUAACUCCAAGUCAAUCACACUUCUGUGAAAUCAAACUGUCCACUUAGGAAGCAACACUGAUUGACAAUACAUUUCACAUGCUGUUGUGCAAAUGGAAUAGACAACAGGUGGAAAUUAUAGGCAAUUAGCAAGACCCCCAAUAAAGGAGGGGUUCUGCAGGUGAUAACCACAGACCACUUCUCAGUUCCUAUGCUUCCUGGCUGAUGUUUUGGUCACUUUUGAAUGCUGGCGGUGCUUUCACUCUAGUGGUAGCAUGAGACGGAGUCUACAACCCACAUAAGUGGCUCAGGUAGUGCAGCUCAUCCAGGAUGGAACAUCAAUGCAAGCUGUGGCAAGAAGGUUUGCUGUGUCUGUCAGCGUAGUGUCCAGAGCAUGGAGGCACUACCAGGAGACGUGGAGGAGGCCGUAGGAGGGCAACAACCCAGCAGCAGGACUGCUACCUCCGCCUUUGUGCAAGGAGGAGCGCUGCCAGAGCCCUGCAAAAUGACCUCCAGCAGGCCGCAAAUGUGCAUGUGUCUGCUCAAACGGUCAGAAACAGACUCCAUGAGGGUGGUAUGAGGGCCCGACGUCCACGGGUGGGGGUUGUACUUACAGCCCAACACCGUGCAGGACGUUUGGCAUUUGCCAGAGAACACCAAGAUUGGCAAAUUCGCCACUGGCCCUGUGCUCUUCACAGAUGAAAGCAGGUUCACACUGAGCACGUGACAGAGUCUGGAGACGCCGUGGAAAACGUUCUGCUGCCUGCAACAUCCUCCAGCAUGACCGUUUUGGCGGUGGGUCAGUAGCCUAGUGGGUAGAGUAGCCUAGUGGUUAGAGUGUUGGACUAGUAACCGAAAGGUUGCAAGUUCGAAUCCCCAAGCUGUCGUUCUGCCCCUGAACAGGCAGUUAACCCACUGUUCCUAGGCCGUCAUUGAAAAUAAGAAUUUGUUCUUAACUGACUUAAAAUAAAGGUAAAAAAAAUUAAAAAAUGGUGGGUGGCAUUUCUUUGGGGGGCCGCACAAGCUACCUCUGGCGAACACAUGGAGGGCUGACUGCCAUUAGGUACCGAGAUGAGAUCCUCAGACCCCUUGUGAGACCAUAUGCUGGUGCGGUUGGCCCUGGGUGCCUCCUAAUGCAAGACCUCAUGUGGCUGGAGUGUGUCAGCAGUUCCUGCAAGAGGAAGGCAUUGAUGCUACGGACUGGCCCGGACGUUCCCCAGACCUGAAUCCAAUUGAGCACAUCUGGGACAUCAUGUCUCGCUCCAUCCACCAACACCACAGACUGUCCAGGAGUUGGCGGAUGCUUUAGUCCAGGUCUGGGAGAUCCCUCAGGAGCAUGCUCAGGCGUUGUAGGGAGGUCAUACAGGCACGUGGAGGCCACACACACUACUGAGCCUCAUUUUGACUUGUUUUAAGGACAUUGGAUCAGCCUGUAGUGUGGUUUUCCACUUUAAUUUUGAGUGUCACUCCAAAUCCAGACCUCCAUGGGUUGAUACAUUUGAUUUCCAUUGAGUGAUUUUGUUGUCAGCACAUUCAACUAUGUAAAGAAAAAAGUAUUUAAUAAGAAUAUUUCAGUGUUCCCUUUGUUUUUUUUGAGCAGUGUAGAUUACUAGUGAUCCUCUGCUGAAUGUGUUUAAACAAGUCACA